Molecule: ribosomal RNA, 400 nt
Filed under: uncultured Lachnospiraceae bacterium
Lineage: Bacteria; Bacillati; Bacillota; Clostridia; Lachnospirales; Lachnospiraceae
Description: bacterial SSU rRNA
Rfam family: Bacterial small subunit ribosomal RNA
Source: RNAcentral
CGAACGAGCGAGAGAGAGUUACUUUUUCGAGCGAGUGGCGAACGGGUGAGUAACGCGUGAGGAACCUGCCUCAAAGAGGGGGACAACAGUUGGAAACGACUGCUAAUACCGCAUAAGCCCACGGCUCGGCAUCGAGCAGAGGGAAAAGGAGCAAUCCGCUUUGAGAUGGCCUCGCGUCCGAUUAGCUAGUUGGUGAGGUAACGGCCCACCAAGGCGACGAUCGGUAGCCGGACUGAGAGGUUGAACGGCCACAUUGGGACUGAGACACGGCCCAGACUCCUACGGGAGGCAGCAGUGGGGAAUAUUGCACAAUGGGGGAAACCCUGAUGCAGCGACGCCGCGUGGAGGAAGAAGGUCUUCGGAUUGUAAACUCCUGUUGUUGAGGAAGAUAAUGACGGUA